GGCAGCCGCGGUAAUUCCAGCUCCAAUAGCGUAUAUUAAAGUUGUUGCAGUUAAAAAGCUCGUAGUUGAACUUCGGAAUUUGCCCAUUGGUCAGGCUUAACUGUCUGCACUGGUGUGACGAGUUCCUACCUUCUGAGGAAUCUCCAUGUCAUUCAGUUGGUGUGGGGGGAAAUCAGGACUGUUACUUUGAAAAAAUUAGAGUGUUUAAAGCAGGCGUCCGUCUGAAUGCAUUAGCAUGGAAUAAUAAAAUAGGACGGUUUGGUUCUAUUUUGUUGGUUUCUAGGAUCACCGUAAUGAUUAAUAGGGAUAGUUGGGGGCAUUAGUAUUCAAUUGUCAGAGGUGAAAUUCUUGGAUUUAUUGAAGACUAACUACUGCGAAAGCAUUUGCCAAGGAUGUUUUCAUUAAUCAAGAACGAAAGUUAGGGGAUCGAAGACGAUCAGAUACCGUCGUAGUCUUAACCAUAAACUAUGCCGACUAGGGA
Molecule: ribosomal RNA, 481 nt
Filed under: uncultured Diversispora
Lineage: Eukaryota; Fungi; Glomeromycota; Glomeromycetes; Diversisporales; Diversisporaceae
Description: SSU rRNA
Rfam family: Eukaryotic small subunit ribosomal RNA
Source: RNAcentral